CGGGGUGUAGCUCAGGUUGGUAGAGCGCUUGGUUUGGGACCAAGAGGUCGCUGGUUCGAGUCCAGUCACCCCGACCA
RNAcentral lists this transfer RNA (77 nucleotides) under Thermoanaerobaculum aquaticum. RNAcentral describes it as "tRNA-Pro". It matches the Rfam family "tRNA". From Rfam's summary of the family: Transfer RNA (tRNA) molecules are approximately 80 nucleotides in length. Their secondary structure includes four short double-helical elements and three loops (D, anti-codon, and T loops). RNAcentral also lists the same sequence under 5 other names. The record is from RNAcentral. Lineage: Bacteria; Pseudomonadati; Acidobacteriota; Thermoanaerobaculia; Thermoanaerobaculales; Thermoanaerobaculaceae.